AUAAGGCCACAAGAGGAUUGCGUCAUCCAAGAGAAGAAACGGAGGUCGAGGGUCUCUUGCCUCAGUCGAUGGCGAGACUUGCCGGCGGGCAGAUAGUCGUCGCUCCUCCUUCCUCCUUCCCCUGUGGACGCUCGAUCAUGUGCUAAGCCAUACACACCAUGACUGUUGUGACGAGGACAGCUUCUGAAUCGUACGUUAGAUAGUGAAGAGUAGAAAAAAAAUAGUAACAAUGAGUCGCUCAAAGAAGUAUAACAACCCCUUCGCUGGGGUUCGCUACGAGCAUCUAGUCGCUGGUGUGUCGGGAGGGGUUGCCUCCACGCUCAUUUUGCAUCCUCUGGACCUCCUCAAGAUCAGAUUUGCAGUCAGUGAUACUUCAGCCACGGCAGCAAAGCCACAUUACACUGGACUGACUCAGGCUCUAGGUCAGAUCUUGAGGCAUGAGGGGAUAAAAGGAUUGUAUAGAGGAGUCACGCCCAAUGUCUGGGGUGCAGGAUCUGCCUGGGGCCUCUACUUCUUGUUUUACAACAUGAUCAAGUCAUGGUUCCAGAGUGGCAACAGCAAAGUGCACAUCGGCCCCAGCCUCCACAUGGUCGCGGCGGCAGAGGCAGGCAUCCUGACCCUCGUAAUGACUAACCCCAUUUGGGUUGUUAAGACCAGAUUAUGUCUGCAAUACACUGAUGGAACAGGCAAGGUUCUAGCGGAGUCUCAUCGGUAUAAUGGGAUGGUCGAUGCAUUUGUCAAGACCUACAAGUACGAAGGAGUCAGAGGACUAUACAAGGGUUUUGUUCCUGGCGUUUUUGGGGUAUCACAUGGUGCACUGCAGUUUAUGGCUUAUGAAGAGAUGAAGGCGAAGUACAACAGGUAUCGCAAUCUCCCUAUUGAUGCAAAACUGACAACCCUGGAAUACCUUGGCUUUGCAUCACUCUCCAAACUCUUUGCAGCUGUCACAACUUACCCAUACCAAGUUUUGCGUGCCCGCAUGCAAGACCAGCAUGCCCAUUAUGACAACUUGCGCCACUGUAUCAAAGAAACAUGGAGACAAAAUGGUGUUCGUGGUUACUACAAAGGCCUUUUACCAAACAUCUUGAGAGUAGUUCCUGCAACAGCCCUGACGUUUGUUGUUUAUGAACACACGUCACACUUCUUGUUGGAUUUGCGGAAACCAGAAGAACCACAGCAGGAAGAGAAGAAUUAAGAUAUAUCUUUAAUGCUCAGGAAGAUUACCCUUAUUUUCAUUUUAUUUUUUAUUAAUUUCAGCUCAGAUGAAUGUUCAAUAGAUUUUCAAGUCAUACAUACUUUGGAGUAUACUUCUAUCUAUAUGAUAUCAGUGUUGUAAAGAGAAGUAUGGAUUCAAAGAAAAUUAUAGUGAGAAUUAAAGGAAAUCAAAAUAUUGUAUUAUAUAUAGCUAUCACCAUUUGCUGGGCACGUGGCUAUCAAUGCACUAGUCUUCCACAUUACCAGCUUAUAAGCUAUCUUCUCGUACACUACUUUUUAAUGAAUUGCUUUGUAAUGUCAUGUAGUAGAUGUCUCAUUAAAGAAAUAUUUUGCAUGAUCUUAUAAGCUUCAAUUAAAAUGAGAUACAGAGCUAUCAUAUAUAAUGGAUUCUCGUACCCUUUUACACAGGUAGUGAAGGUAAUGUUCAAAGGAACCUCAUUUAUGCAUUUGUUUUAGUUGCUGUGAUGUUCAUGUUAGUAUUAAGUCUUGCCUUACUUAAUGUGUGAAGGGGGUUGAUGGGAAAGAAUGGGUUAACCAAACCAUUUAUAUGUGUUGGAAUAUGUGAUUGCCUUAAUUUGUAUAACAUUGAAAAAGUUGCUUAUCAGCAUAAAAUUGUUUCUGGGUACACUAUUUCAAAGUCAGACAAACUGAAGACCUCUUUUUCUCUCUUUUAUGUAGACUGUAAUAUUCAGUCUGAGAUUUGUUGAGUGGGUUCUUCAUUGACAGUAUUUAUAAACAAAAACUGAAAAAUUAAAUGCAUUAUCAAGAUUAGGUGGUACAAAUACAUUGUUGUGAUUAUGAUGUAAUGAAAUCUACUUAGAUUGCUGACUAUGUUCUUAACACAGAUGUAUGCUGAUGAGCUGUUAUCCAAUUAUUACCAUCUAUAACCUGAAGGCUGUUAUCUUGUAUGAUAUGCAGUUGUUUGGUUUUCUAUACAGGCAGCAAACAGAGGUUGGAAAUUUUACUUAGAUAUAGAUGAAAUGUAUUUGCUCAUUCCAGAAUUUAAAUAGAAUUUCAGUCUUAGUCUUUAAUUACAGGUCUACCUAACUACAGUCUUUGAUUCCUGACACAAGGGAUAAGAUUCAUUGGCAGGUUAACAGCAAAAUGCAUUUUUGUUUUUAUACACAAAUAUUUACUCUUAAUUAUUUCUUUUUUUUCUUUUUUUUCAUUCUUAUUUUUGAGAUAGAUUAGAAUGAUCAGAUCUUUUUUUUUUUUUUUUUUUUUUAGGUUUUCUAUUUUGCUAAAUCUGCCUGAAUCACAACAAAGCGUUCAUGUUAUUUCAGUUCCUGGUUAUAAGAAAUUGAUAAAAAAAUUGUUACUCAUGUCCAGAUGCCCUUGUGAUAAGAAAAAUUUGCAUCCCUUGUUAACUAUCUAGUCAGUCAAUUACUUGCAUAGAUAGAAAGUUAAUUUGUAUGUAUAUAUGUUGAAGAAAUGUAAGAAAGAUAA
RNAcentral lists this unclassified non-coding RNA (2661 nucleotides) under Penaeus chinensis. Its description in RNAcentral is "mitochondrial folate transporter/carrier-like, transcript variant X1". Lineage: Eukaryota; Metazoa; Arthropoda; Malacostraca; Decapoda; Penaeidae. The record is from RNAcentral.